Molecule: ribosomal RNA, 253 nt
Filed under: uncultured bacterium
Lineage: Bacteria
Description: partial 16S ribosomal RNA
Rfam family: Bacterial small subunit ribosomal RNA
Source: RNAcentral
UACGAAGGGGGCUAGCGUUGCUCGGAUUGACUGGGCGUAAAGGGCGCGUAGGCGGUUCGUACAGUCAGACGUGAAAUUCCUGGGCUCAACCUGGGGGCUGCGUUUGAUACGUGCGGACUUGAGUGCGGAAGAGGGUCGUGGAAUUCCCAGUGUAGAGGUGAAAUUCGUAGAUAUUGGGAGGAACACCAGUGGCGAAGGCGGCUACCUGGACCGGUUCUGACGCUGAGGCGCGAAAGCGUGGGUAGCAAACAGG